CUGGGGCUUUCAUAAAGCCGAAGAUAUAGAAAAAUUGCAUUUGUAUUAUAUGAAAAGAAUUUUAAAAGUUAGAAAAGGAACUGUUAAUAACAUGGUAUAUUUUGAGUUGGGCAGAGUGCCCUUGUAUGUAAAUAGAUAUGUGAAAAUGGUAACCUACUGGUUGAGAUUGUUAGACACAGAGAACUGUAUUUUAAAACAUGUAUAUAAUGAUAUGUACGAAUCUAGUUGUGUGAAGCCAAAUGACAAGCUAAAUUGGUCUUGUAAAGUACGAGAUAUAUUAUGUAAAUAUGGUUUUAGUGAUGUUUGGUUUUCACAGAGAGUUAGAAACAGUCAAUUAUUUUUGAGUGAAUUUAAACAAAGAGUAAUAAAUAAUUAUAUAUCUGAAGGUUUAUCAUAUUUUGAAAAUUCGCCGAAAUGUACUUUGUAUCAGUAUUUACACGAUGGCCACA
Molecule: long non-coding RNA, 449 nt
Filed under: Mytilus galloprovincialis (Mediterranean mussel)
Lineage: Eukaryota; Metazoa; Mollusca; Bivalvia; Mytilida; Mytilidae
Source: RNAcentral